RNAcentral lists this long non-coding RNA (32012 nucleotides) under Capsicum annuum. Its description in RNAcentral is "long non-coding RNA (CANN_LNC018117)". Lineage: Eukaryota; Viridiplantae; Streptophyta; Magnoliopsida; Solanales; Solanaceae. The record is from RNAcentral.
ACACAUGACAACAAUACAAUUAAGGGGGAGGGCACAACAAUAUACAUACACUCACAGGAUUCCAUCAUCUUUCAUUUUUUGAUGACAAUAUACACACACACGUAAGAUGUACAGAGCUUCCUCACCAUUUCGUCUCUCAAUACAUACAAACACCUCAUACACGCACAUACCCCUCAAUUCACCAAUACACAGUUCCCACAGCCCACAUUACACAGAUUACACUCGCAGUAAUUCUCACACACACACACUGAAAAUUGGAGGGAGAUUGAGAGUGAAGAGAGAGAUUGAGAAAGACAGUGAUUGGAAAUCUGAGAGGAGAGAGGAAACAGACGUCGAAUGACACUAUUUCGGCGAGAACCCGCCAAAAAAGGUUGAAAACUCGGCUGAUUCACCAAUUCCCAUCGCUACUAGAGCUCACUGAAGCUCCGGCAAAAUAAUAACAACAAAACAUCCCUCUCCCGUCCCCGUCUUCGGUAAAUUCAUCGGAGAACAAAUUCCAAAUCUACCUGACCAGUCCCAGAUUCGGCGGAAAUUGUCAAAAAAUGAACGAAGCAGUAGUGGGGUGUGCAAAUUCGAGUACGGGUCUUUUGUUAUUUUCUUGAUUUUGAUCUAGGUUGGCGAAAAACAGAGAAAAAGGGUAUAUCGUGGUCGGGUUUAUUAGUGGAGGUUUGAAUUGAGGUUUUUCGGGCGCGCUUCUAUCUUCGAUAUAUCAAAAUCGACAAUUGAGGUCCAAUUCUUCUCUUUUCCUCUUUUUAUUUCAUUGUUUAUUAUAUUUGGUGUGUUGGAUUAAAUAUCAUGUGUUGUUUGAUCCUUGUUGGUGAUGAAUAGUGUCUUGGUAUCGAUUGAUUGUUGAUUUCGUUGAUUAUGUAUGAUGCGAUGAAACGAUAUAAUCACUUGAGAUUUGAAAUCUGUAAUUUGAGUAUAGAAUUGGGGGUGGGAAUUAAAAGAUUAAUAAGGUGCAUGUUGAUUAUUUUUAUUCAUUGAUGGAUAUGGUUGAAAUCGAUAGUAUCAUAUUUUAGAUCGUUUAAUGGGUAGACAAAUACUAAGUUUGGGUAGGCAAAUUAUAGAAAUAGAAGAUGAUGAUUUGUUGAAUGUGUGGAUGUCUUGUUGAAUGGUUCUUUCUAUUUUCAACGCACAAAAUUGAAAAAAUGUAUUCAUUUGACCGGAGAAUGCACCGAGGUCUUAUGUACUUAUUCAUUGGGGAAUACCUCAAAGCAUCUUGUACUCGAAGAGCAUUCGUGAUGAAGGUCCGAGGCAUUGGGUAAAGCAUAGAAAUGUAGUUUAGGAUUAGUAAGUAGGUUUACAUUUCCAUAUUUUUCUAUUUUUGGAACUGUAAUAAUUGGGAUGAAAACUAUAUACUUGUUUUGUUUUGUUUAUUUGAUUGAUUGUUUUGUGUGUUUUAUGUAAUUUAUACAUUCAUAGUGUCAAAUUAGCCGAUAUGCUCCACCAAACGAAUAUGGUCGAACCACGGGAUCGAGGGGUGCCUAACACCUUUCCCUCGGUCAACAGAAUUCCUUAAUCGAAAUCUCUAUUCGUGGAUCAGUUUUAAAGAGUCAAAAUCAUUUUCAAAAAGGAUAUCCAAGGGUGACUUGGCACAGCCGAUUUAUGCCAAGUGCCGACUCUGAGUUUUGAAUAUAAAAAGUUAUUUUCGAAACAAAUCUUCAUUUUGUCACUUAAUAAUAAAACCCUUUUUCAAACCUUAAAUUAAUUCUUUUUUGUUAAUAAAAGGGUGUGACUGCUCUGGCGACUCUGCUGGGGACAUUUUCAGUAGUCGAGCUUAUUUUUGAUAUUGUAUCGGCUUAGUUUAACAUUAUGAUUGUAUAGACGUUGUUUGCGAUAUUGUUUGUACACCCUCCAUCCCAAAUUAUAUGUCGCCAUUUUCUUUUCGGUCCGUCCCAAAAAGAAUGUCGCCUUUCCUUAUUAGGUAAGUUCUUAAAGACACAAUUACAAUUUUACCCUUAGUGGUCCUACUUGAUUUUAAAUACUAUUACUCAUUUUUUAUUUGUUUUUUCAAUUAAAAGUGGCCCAGCUUGAUUUUAAAUACUAUUACUAUAAUUUUGUAACUUUAACAAAGUCAACACUUAUUUCUUAAAUAUUGUGUCCGGUCAAAUAACGACAUAUAACUUGAGAUGGAGGGAGUAUUUAUUUUAUCAUUGUUAAUUGCCUACUUGCUACGUUUUUAUAGUUUUUACUCUUAUGUGUUACCGCUUUAUAUCUGACAUCAUUUGUAUAACCCGAGUCAAUUUUUUCUGCAACAAGUCUCGGAGUACACGUUGUGUACACGAACUCUAGUUGAGUCACCCUUAUUGUAGGAGGGGGACCCGUCAGAUGUAUGGAGUAGGUGGAAAGCAAAGCAACCACUAUUGACCAUAUGCUCCUUGAACGUCCUUGUCAGUGGACCCCAACGUAGGUCAGCCUUUAGAUCAUGCUUAUCUACAUCAUAUUGAGACCUAGCGGGACCUACUUGAUCCUUUGUAAGAGACUCGCCCAUAAAGCAUCUCUACGUGCUAAUUGUUGCAUCUUUGAGGGUAAUAUGAUCAUUUGAUGGACUGGUUUAGGGAAAACAUGUGUUAGAAUUAAAGGAGCGUGUGUUACGCAAGGAAAAAGAAAAGAAAAAAAAGAGUUUAGGAGUUUUUUUAGUGACCUUUAUGGCUUUUGUUUUUCACAAUUCAAAAAUUCAAAAAGACUUUUUACCUUUUGCACUCAUUUACUCAAAAAACAAAAUAUCAAAAAGAUUUUGCCUUUGUUUCUUUCUUUUAGCAAGCAUUCAUAAUUUGAAAAUUUCAAAAAAGAUUUUUUUUUUUGGAGUUAUUUUUUAUAAAGGAAAAAUUCAAAAAAAAUGAUAGAAGUUUUGUACAUUUCAUGUAACGAAAUACAAAAAGUUUUUUCUUUCAUAAUUGUUGGUGUCAAUCUUAUGUGAAGUGUCCAAUUGAACCCCCCCCCCCCCCCAAAAAAAAAAGAUUUUAUUGACAUUUUUUAUCAUCCAUCUUUGGUCAUGUCUAUCAAGUAAAGGUUCAGUUUGUUGUUUAAUCCUUAAUUAUCCAAUCUGGACGAAUUACACAUACCUGAUUCUUCUCUCUCGGGGCUGACAUACGUAGGCACCCCUUCCAGGGUUCAGUAAUCUUAUUUACAAAAACCACAAAAAGAUUUUUCUUUAAUUGUUUCAAGUUUAUUUUCGUAUGAAAUUCAAAAUUGAAACCCUAAAAAGGAUUCUUCUUUGGUAAUUAGAGGUUUCGUUUUGUAUAGAAAUCUGAAAAAAUUCAAAAAAAAUUUAUUCACUCUUCAUUUAGAGUAGGUAUCAUAUACAUCUCUAAAAGAAAACGACAAAAGAUUUUCUUUUAAUAGUUUCAAGUUUCAUUUUCGUAUGAAAUUCAAAAUUGAAAACUCAGAACGAGUUUCCUUUGGUGACCAUAAGUUUCAUUUUGUAUAGGAAGCUGAAAAAUUCAAAAAGAUUUUCGUCAAUUCUAUUGGCAAUUUGUUAUUUUCUUUUCUUCUUAAAGUUUCAAGAAAAAGAAAAAAAGAAAGAGAGUUGAUCGGUCGUUUUGUGGCCAAAUUUCAUGAACUACACACACCUGAUUUUACUCUCUCGGGAGUGAGAUAUGUAGGCGCCCUUCUUGGGUUCGGUGAUCUUUUUAAAAAAAAAAGAAAGAAAAAGAUUUUUAAAAAAGAUGUUGAACUCCAACACAUUUGUUAUCUCUUGUUCAGUUAGUUUAAGGUGGUUGGUUUGUGGCAUUUUGAUUGGUCCUCCAUAUCACACCAAGUCUAAGGGAGAGUUAGUCAUGUCCAACAAGGAUAUAGAGAGUGACAUCAUGGAUCAGACGAAGGGUAAAAAAAUGAGAGUUUAAAGGAAGAGAUUUUGAGACUAAGGUAACAAAUGAUAGAAAUACACCGAUCUUGGGCCAGUGGGUUGCCUUCCUACUAUCGUUGAUGCACCACAACAUGCCUCGAAAUUCAUGACAUGUCAGCUGCAUCCCAAUACUUCCACCACCUCUUCUCUAUCUCCUCAAUAUAAGCCUACUAUAUUCGCAACACCAUAUGUCGUCUGUGAUUUGUUGCUCAACCCUCUAUUGAGGCUUCCACAUUGGCUAUCCGUCCAAUGAUUGUGGUUUCCCAGGCCACUAGUGAACCCAUGUUCAAUACUCUUGAUAAUCAUUUCUAUACUUAUUAGCCACUUUUAAGUUAACUGGACCACCAAAAUUUCUUACCAAGAAGUCCGACAUGGCAGAAGAGCAAAUGGUUUGGAAAAUGAAGGGUAUAGAAAAUACUAUGAAAAGUUCCCUAGGACUCGUAGAUAAAGAAGAUGUUUCAUAUAAAUAUUGAGGCAUGUCUUCAAGUUUCAACCUUUUUCAAAGAUUUUAGAUAUUGAAAUUUGAAGAACAUGAUGGACAUUAGGAUUCUGUGAAACAUUUGGUACGAUACUGCAAUAAAUCAAAGGAAGCUGAAGGGAAAAAGAAGGAAGACGUACCUAUUGUCGUGCCAGGGCCAAAGCAGAGAUUGAGAGGUCCAACUCACUAAUACUGUCAGCAUCAAUCCCUAUCUUACUUAUUAGAUCCACAUACUCACCUACAACACGGUUUCUCAUUCCAAAAUCCAAGAUAUUCUACUUUACUUCCUCAAUAUCCUUUGAAAAAUGCACAAUUGUAUACUCGUCUGUUAUCUUAUCCACAAUGGCAAGCACCGAUCCCUCAACAUCAUCCUCAGCCCCCCCAUAUAUUUACCAAGGUGCCUCUAAAUCCAAGUUUCAACCAAGGCUAGAGUUUUUAAAGAGGAUGAAGGAAAGGGGUAAUUUCACUCAUAUUGGGGAAUCCUAUGCCAGUUUGUUCCAUAGAUUGAGAUAGUGGGGCUUGAUUACUCCUCUCCUUAGGUAUACACUCGACUCACAUUCAAGAAAUUUUGACCCUAAUGUAUGGUGCGAAUAUCAUUCUGAUGUCUAGGGUCAUAAUAUUAAAGAUUGUCGUAAUUUGAAAAGAGAAAUAGAAAAGAUGAUUCAAGAAAAGUGAUUGUUGCAAAAUGUUGACACCUCGAGCGUUACACAGAAUCCUUCAUCAACACAUGGUGAUGCACAGUACGUGGGAAGUAAUGAGUUGGGCAUGAGGAUCCAAAACUUAUUUGUUGAGGGAAAUGUGUUUGAUGGUGAUGAAAGCUCUAAUCAUGAUGUGCAAAUCAAUGGCUAAGAUGUCAAGCUCAGCAAUUGGGAACUCACUCUUCUCCCUGCUAGGAUAAAUGUUUGGUAGUUUGUUUUCUUUUCUUUUCUAUUAUCUGAAUUAUUUCAGAGUUGUAGUUCGGGAUCUAUCUUGUUUUGCCCCUUUGUCGUUUAUGUUCAAACCCUUCCAUCUUUCAUUUAAACUAAAUGGAGUGCCCCUUUUUCCUUUGUGUUUUAAAUAUGUGUUGUUGUUUGUUUUCUUUACACAGUAUAUUUUAUGUUGGUUCUAGUGACAUGACAUGCUAGUGUAAUUUUCAGCUAGAUCUUAAAUCAAGUUUAACCAAGAAUUUUGAAUCAGAGGGAUAAGGUUAGAAAAGAAUCUGAGAAAAUAGGUAGAGUGCUAAGAUAUUUGGCAACAAGUUGAAGCCUUCUUUGAAAAUUAAGACAAUUAUUUUGAGAAUCACAAGAGUAACUUGGUCCUCAAUUGAAAAACAUGUCUCAAUUAGGUUAAAAAGUGGCUGCGUGAUCUUAUAUUAAGAGGAACAGAAAGAAAAUCAGCUCCACAAAAGCAUGAGUAAUUCGAUGUGAGGGAUGUACAACAAAGGUGGAGUUGUAUGCUGGAAAACUGUGGAAAAAUAUGUGACACACAUUCUCAGUUAAAGUAUUGAUAAAGUGUCACAAAUGCUCUUCAUCUCGCUUUCAUAUUGCAUUUUUACGUACUUGCAUUUUCAAGGAUUGAUAUGACGAAGGCAUUUCAUUCUGCUAUCCAAACAUUGUGUCAUCCUUUGUUUACCCAUUUGAGCCUUAGUUCUAUUUUCUUUCAUACCCCUCUUUUGGAAUCAAGAUAAGAUUCAGCAAUGUUCAAAAGAAAAGUGUUGAGCAAAAGAAUAAAGUAAAAAAUGUGUCAAAAAGAAAGAAAAAGAAGUGUCAAGGAAAAUAAAGUCAGAAAAAUUUUCAAAGAUAAAUAAAAAAAAGAAAAGAAGUUAGAAUCAAGCAAAAGAACGAGUUGUUGGAACUACGUGUGACCUGAUUCUUCUUUCUCGGGGAUGAGAUAUGUAGGCUGCCCUACUCUGGGCUUGGUCCAACCAAAUAAAUAAUUUAGUAUUUCCCAGUAAAAAAAAAACUAGGGCAUGAGUUAAUCCUCAUUAUUUGAGUCGAUUCUAAAAGUUGUAAGUCCCACCCUACUUUAAAUAUCGUUUGGGCCUCAUGCCAUUCUUUCUUUCUAACCCUAUCCAAAAGCCAAGUUACAACCAAAGAAAGACCUUCAGACCAAUCUUUGAGGAUGUUAAGGCUAAGCAUGCAAGGGAUAUAAUGAUGCAUUUGGGAACUACUUGUCUUCCUCGGCAUAAGGAAUCAAGAGAGAAAUAAAAAUGAGAGUCUUAUUGAUGAAAACCCUCACGGGCACCGUAAGGCAAUGGUAAGUCGAUAGAUAAUAAAAUGAGAGUCUUAUUGGUGAAAAUCUUCAUAGGCAUUGUAAGAUGAUGGUAAGUUGAGAAAAAUAAAAAUGAGAGAGUCUUAUUCGUGAAAACCUUCACGAGCACCAUAAGGCAAUGGUGAGCUGCGAGAAAAAUGAGAGAGACUUGUUGGUGAAAACCCUUCAAAGUGUCACUAGCCGAAUGAGGUCUUAAAUGCAAUUGACCUAAGGAAGUAACUCAAAUUCAAGGCCAUUAACUCAACAAGAAAUGGUAAAAGUUUGGACGAAAAGAUCAGGCAGCUUAAUCCGAAAUGUAUGUCAUAUCAUUGGAGUUGACUGUCACUUUCAGAUAAAUUCUUCUUUUCUCUAUUUUAAUGGGGACAUUCAUUAUAUUUUCUUUCUUCUGAUAGUUUUAUUUUUAUUUUCUUGAGUCAUUUAUUCAAAUAAAAAAAUCAUUGUCAUUUUUCUCGUGUCUUUGAGUCAAGUUUAUGUCAAAAUAAGUGAGAAAAGUUUUCAAAAUUGGAUACUAACUUCUUCAAUUGCGCUAAGAAAGACAAAAGGAAAGCACAUGAAAGAAACAAGAUUGCAAGUCAGAACAAGGCAUACAGAAGGUUGUUGUCAACCAACAAAUUUGGAGAAUUCGUGGAAAUACCAAUAUCUAAAGGGGAUUGUCUUAGAAACAUAGCAAAGCAGAGAUACUGUGUUUGUUUUAGAGUCACUCUUAAUAAUCUGAGUCUGGAGCAAUGGUGAAACAAGGCAAUGACGAAUGUUAAUGAUUGGAAUUAAGAUUUUAAUGGGACCAGUGCAAGAGAAAUUGCCUCAAAAGCAAAAUCCGCAAGCCAACCACCUUGUUUAAAACUCACAAGUUUUCUUUGUUAUAAAACAGGAAUGGUUGCUACCUUUUAAUCAAAGUCUUCAAAGCACAAAUAUCCAGAGCUGCAAUUCCUCAUUUCUGCAAAUGCAAGAGCAUAGGUUUGGUAAUUGCAAUUAUGGUAAAACUUAUUAUCUUGUACCCCUAAGAGACACAUUCUCUAAUUUAGGCCUUUCAUGUCUUACGGCUAGGAGGUGCACUUCCUAAUUUGAACCGUUAGUUCUAAAAGAUGCACUUUUAGCAAGAACCUUUCACAUUCAUUCUUAAGAGACGAACUUUUUGGUCUCAGUCAUUCAAUUUUACCCUCAAAAGGGACAUUUGUUGAUCAGGAUCUUUAUUUAUCUUUGUAACGACCCUCCUGGUCUUGUGAAAUCUUUUCAACUUCCUUAUUCUAGCUCUUAUGGUAGUUUGUAUAUGUAAUUUAUGACUUACGAAGAUAGAUAGUACCGAUUCUUGAUGUGUUCUAGGUGAGUUAAGUUCCUAGUUGGGUAUUUUAGAUAAUUAAUUUAAUUAGUAAUUUAAUGGGUCCAAAACCAUAGUUUAACUACUUAUGGGGUCAAUACAAAAAAUAAAUUUAAGUUAGAAGGGUUUAUCGGGUAUAAUAAUAGAAGCAAAUAAUCCCAAGAAAGGGUGAACGACGGUUAGCAGCCAUAUUUUGUAUUCACCUCUUUAAAGAAAAUUCGUGACCUCUUAUAGGUUUCCUUUCUAAUAUCUUUAGAAUUUGAUUAGAAACUAGUAAAUAAAUGUUGUGUAGUGAUUUCCUGUAAUCAUUGGCAUAGUUGACCAUACAAAGUAAUAUUAAAAUAGUAAUAUGAGAGAUAUGAGAUAUUCUUACAAUUUGUCCUUUUAUAUGGAUUGGGAUAAAUCAGUGGAUACAAAUUUAUAUUAGGAUAGCCGGUCAUAUUUUAAUGAUGAUUAUGGGUUUUUGGUGCCUGCAGUGUCAUGAUAGAACUAUUUUGUUCUUGGCAUCAACAGCAUGCCUCGGAGAUUUGGAACUAACAAUUGUUAUUUUAGACAGUAACGACAUAGUAAUAAUAAUUUCAUAAUCAUAUUGAGGUUUAAGCGUAGAAAAUCAUUGUGUUUAAUAUGGAUGGAUUUUAUAAUUUAACAUGUUAUCAAACCAUAUAUGUUUUGGGUUAUGGUUAUAUAUAUGUGCUCUAUUGAUAAAUUAUUCUGCACUAGCUAUUUGAUAUCAUUUAAUUUUAAUGGGAAUAGUCUUCUUACUAUUUCGUUAGUACAUAAGACUAGAAUGAAUAUUUUAUUUAGCUAAACAAUUCGUUCAUGGCUAUUUGAUUGGAUUGGACUCGAUGUUCCUGUUUUGGCUAUUUGAUUUACUCAAUAUUGGCCAUUGAAUUGACAUAUUAUAUUGUUUGCUCUCUAAAUCAACAGGAGAUACUAUUUUGAUUAUUUCAUAGGUCUUAAGGGUAAAAAUGUGUAAAAUGGGUGUCACUAGAUUCGUACUCUUAUUGGGAUUAUAGUUUGAACAACUUUGAAAUAUUCGGAAGCUUUAUGGAAGGGCAAAACCCUUGCACAUUAGCUUGCUUUUGAGUUCUUCGAUUGAGGUAGGUUAUGAUUUAAUUAGAGUUUAGAAUCAACUUGAUUGUGUGUAUGCUCCUAAAUUAGAUACUUGUUGAUUGGUAUUCGGAUAUGCUUGAAAUUGUUGAUGUUUGGACUAUUGAUUUGUGUAUAAAUGAUUAUUGAAAAUUUACUUGAUGGAAUUGUCUUAUGACUUUAAAUGUACUUGUAAACUUGGUGCAUUGUGUUGUAUGCUUGAGGUAGUUUAAAUUUGAUAUUGAUAUUACUUGUUUAUAUGUUGGAUCGGGUACCAUGCCGGUAUGGAUAUGUAUAUAUUGGAUCGGGUACCACACCAGUAUGAAUAUAUAUAUGUUGGAUCGGGUACCACGCCAGUACGGAUAUGUAUAUGUUGGAUCGGGUACCACGCUAGUACGGAUAUUUAUAUGUUGGGUUGGGUGCCACACCGGUGUGGAUAUGUAUAUGUUAGAUCAGGUACCACGUUGGAUCGGGUACCACACCGAUACGGAUAUGUAUAUGUUGGAUCAGGUACUACGCCUGUAUGGAUAUGUAUAUGUUGGAUCGGGUACCAUGUUGAUACGGUACAUGAACAUAGAUUGUUCCCUGCAGGUCAUGACUAUUUGGGUAAAAAUAAGCCCCAUAGCAUGUGUGUACGUAUUUAUAUUGAUUCUGUGGAUGUUUAUAGCAUGGUUGAUACUCUUGAUGGUUAUGUGGCUUAUUUGUGAGCACUGUUUGACCUAUUGUUGUUGUUGUUGUAUUGUUGAUUCAUUGAAUAUUUAUUUUGUGACGAUGCCUGUUUACUUGUUAUCUAAUUUAUGUUGUGUAAAUGCUAUUAAAUUGAGUUGGCCUAUGAUACCUACCAGUACAUAGUGGUUUGUACUGAUACUACCCUGUACUUUUCUUUUGUUGAGUGUAGAAAGUGUUCUUGGGACUCAGACAUGACCUCACCUCUAGAGUUUGAUAGUAGAUCUUGAUCCAAGGGUGAGCACUCUGUCUCCAGGAUGCCAUAGGUCAUCCUAUUUAUUCUGUCCAUCUUUCGGGCAAUGAAACAUUCUUUAUUUACUUUAUUUUUGGAUAUCCCUUUAGACAUGAUCUUUGUUAGUAGUUCUUGUACGAUGACUUUCGGAUCUUGAAAAUUUUAGUAAGUAGUUUGUUUUAAUUCCGUAUUAACAAUGAUUAGUCUUGAAUUAUUGUUAUUAUGUUGAUUUUAUAAUAAUAUUAUCUUAAUAUUGAUUAAGUGAUUGGGUAAUAGUUCGAUUUAGAUGGUUCUCCCACAGAAAGAUUAGUGUGGGUGCCACUUAUGGCCAUUUGGGUCAUGACAAAGUUGGUAUCAAAUCCCUAGGUUUGUCGAUCUCGUCGUAUAAGAACAUGUCUAGUAGAGUCUUGCAGAACGGUACGGAGACGUCUAGAGUCUUGCAGAACGGUACGGAGACGUCUGUACUUUCCUUCGAGAGUCUAUGAGACACUAGAAAAAUUUAAAUUCUUCUUCCUUAUGUGUUACUACUUGAUUUCAAUUGGUAUCUGACUUUUUUUCACUCUUAUUCUCGAAGAUGGGUGUGGUUGAGAGGUAUGGUAUAGAACUAGUUGUCACACCACUUUUUAAACUCCAAAAAAGAUUCGUUUUAAGUUCGAAAGGGUUUUUAUUAUCAACGUGACAAAAGAUAAAAAUUUUGUUUCGAAAAGAAUUCACUUUAAAAUUAACUCAGAGUCGCCACUUGGCAUAAUCCGGUGUGCCAAGUCACCUUUGAAAAAUCCUUUUCAAAACGAUUUGACUCUUUAAAACUGGUUUGCAAACAGAGAUUCCGGCUAAGAAAUUCUGUUGAUCGAGGGGAAGGUGUUAGGCACCCCUCGGUCUCAUGGUUCAACCACGGUCGCUUGGUAGAGCGUAUCGGCUAAUUUGCCAUUCUGAAUUUAUAAACCACACAAAACAAACAAAAAACAAACAAACAAACAAACGAAAACAAAACGAACCAAAAAUAUAGUGUCCAGUCCAAUUUAUACAUUCCAAAUAGAAAAAUGCAAAAAAUAAAUCUUAUCUAACCUAUACUAAUUCUAAAUUUGCUCUCGUGCAUAACCCGACGCCUCGGGCCUUCAUUAUAAAUGUUCUCAGGGUACAUAAUACUUUGAGGCAUUCCCCGGUGAAUGAACAUAAAUACCUCGGGGCAUUCCCCGGCCAAAUGAUACAUUCAAUCCCGAAAUCAAUAAAACCAAACCGUUCACACUCAUUUCAAGCAUUCAAUAAUUCAACGAGCAAAACUUAUUCCUAAAUCUUUGCCUACCCGAGCCUACUUUUGUCUAUUCAUUAGGCCUACCAUGAUACUAUCACGUCAAUGAUAUUCAAUGAAUCAAAAUAAAUUAACGCUUGCUUUUUUAUCAAUUUCAAUUCCUACCCCCCUUAAAAAAUAGCUUCCUUUUCAAUCAAUCAAUGAUUAAUUGAUCUUUCAGUUUAGCACCUUUUCAAAAUUCAAAACCAACAUCCAUACAUCAACCAACGAAAAUUCAAACAUAUGAAUCAUUAAUACCCAUCACAACAGUUAAGACCACUAAAAUUAUCAAGAAAUCACGCCAAGGCCAUAUUUGAACUAAUAAAGAGAUAGAGUUGAGAAAAUGAACCUUUGAAUAUUACAAUGAUAUCAAUGUUUAAGAAAACCAGACUCGAAACGCUCGAAUAGAAACUCUCAACAGCGUCAAGAUCAUAACUAGAAUCGAUAAACAUCAGUCCAAAAUUGACCACAAUAACCUGACUAAGACCCAAAAUAGAAAUUCCAACCCGAUCGACGACACGAUUUGAUAAUAAAAAAAACCUCCAAGACCAUCAAUAACAACGAACAACAAACAUAGAUGAAACAAAAAAAAAACUCCCAACGAUACGAUAGAAAUCGAGAUCCAAGAGAUUCCGGCGAAGUAGUCGCCGGAACAGUGACCAAACCUGCAAAACCCUUUUCCGAAUAACUUCAAAUCUACCCUUUUUUCUUCCCCGUUACAGAUCCACCCUCAAUUUCUCUCUCACGUGCGAGUCUCUCGAUAUUUUUGGUCAAACUCUCCACUACCUGAUUGUCUAUUCCGGUUGUGUGUUCUGUGUGCGUGAGUGAGUGUGAAUUAGUGAGGUGUAGUAUAUGAGAUUGUGUGCAUGCGAGUUACUGUGUAAAAGAAAAGACGGCCCCAAAAUUGGAGUCCGUCAGUGUUUUUUUUUUUAAUGAAGAAGAUCAUGUUCUUGGUGUGUUAUGUGUAGAUGAUGAUAAGAGCAAGAACCAGAAAAAUUGUGAGGCCUACCCCCCCCCCUUUCUCUCGUGCACUGUGUGUGUAUAUAUUUCAAAAGGAAAGAAAAAUAUUUUUGGAGACUUAUGGGUCCAUCCCCCUAGGUAAUUUCCUGGAAAGUUCCCUGGGUCCUUUCUUUGUUAACAAGCAAAAUAAGAGAGGGAGUGAGGGGUCACGUGAGGUAGGGGAUAGGAGGGGUAGGGGUUCGGAUGUGUUGUCAAUUUUUAAUAGGUUGAGUUGUUGGAAUCUUUAAAAUAAGACAAAAUUAGUUAGGUUUGUUAAAUGGGUUAAAAACAAAACAAAACAAAUAAAUAAAUGAGUAAAAGAUGAGGUGGUUAUUUAUUUUCUUGGGGAAAAAUUACUAUGUGGAUAGGGUAUGUAGUAAAAUGAGGUAAACGAUAAAAUGUGUGAAGGGACAAAAUUACGUGUCUACAUCAUGCCCCCUUUGAAUGUAAACACCUAGUGUUUUCAUACAAAGAAGUAGACAACGAGACAGAAUUUUGUCCCAAUCAUUAUUCGAAGAAAGAAACAAAAGAAAGAAAGAGAACCGAGUCUUGACGGACAUCCUACCUACCCAUGUUAUGAGGGAAUCAAGUGACUGGUAUCUCCAAGGGUUGGAAGGAGAGGAACUAUACCGAGUUGGAGAGUCGAGUGAGGUUCCAUCGAGGUUUUGGUCCGCGGCUCUGUCAUUACAUCAAAAAUAAAAAUUACACGUUAAAACAUCAAUGAAAUUACAAAAUCCUAUCUAUGGAGCUUUCUUUGACUAUUUACUCGCUACUCCAUCACCUUAUUCUUCAGGCGGGCUCCUGACUUGCAAUUUCUUCACCCUGUUGCUUGACUUUUAACUUCUUCACCCUGUUCUUCAGGCGGGCGUCUGACUUGCUAUUUUUCUUUCGAUUUCUUCACCUUGUUGCUUGACUUUCCACUUUUCACCCUAUUUUCAAGUGGAACCCUGACUUUUAAUUUCAUCACCCUGUUCUUCAGGCGAGUUCUUGACUUUCCAUUUCAUCACCCCAUUCUUUAGGCGAGUUCUUGACUUAUAAUUUCGUUACCCUGUUCUUCAGGCGGGCACCUGACUUACAGCUUCAUCACCCUGUUCUUCAGGUGGGCUCCUGAACUCAAAAUAAAAGCUAGAAAUAAAAUUAUCCCAAACGAAGAUUAUGAUAAAGAAAAAUUUCACUUUUUCCUAAAAGUAAUGUCCCAUUUUCCAGGAGGGUCCUGAACAUAAAGUAAAUUCCCAUUUUUAAAGAGGGUCCUGAACAGAAAGUAAAUUCCCAUUUUUCAGGAGGGUCCUAAACACAAAGUAAAGUCCCAUUUUUCAGGAGGGUCCUGAACAGAAAGUAAAAUUCCAUUUUUUAGGAGGGUCCUGAACAGAAAGUAAAAUUCCAUUUUUCAGGAGGGUCCUAAACAGAAAGUAAAAUCCCAUUUUUCAGGAGGGUCAUGAACAGAAAGUAAAAUCCCAUUUUUCAUGAGGGUCCUGAACAGAAAGUAAAAUCCUAUUUUAAGGAGGGUCCUGAACAGAAAGUAAAGUCCUCAUGGAUGUGUUUUUCCAAUGGUAACUGAAUUAAAUGAAGUGAAUUUGCCCCUAUUUCAACAAAGAAAAUUUGUCAGUUAAAAACUUAGUGGUGGCUUGUAGCACUUGGCUUCCCAGGGAUCUGCUCCAACCAUUGUUCCUUUCACCUUUGUUUCAGAUCACUGAAACUUAUCUCUGUCUUGUCGCAUCAUUGACCCAGAUCCAAAUUGAGGGAAAUGAGUUUUGACUCGAACAAUGAGUCUCCAUUUUACCAUGCCUCUGAGAUGCACCCUUUUCCAAAUCUUAAUACUCCCACGAAUCCAGCAGCCUGUCGGUUGAUAGACUUCCUUUUCUUUGUGUUGAAUUACGAUCAUAUUUCUUUCAUGUGCUGGUCCUUGGCUUUUCCUCAGAAAAUUGGAAAGACUGGUAGCAAGUUUUGAAAUCUUUUCUCGCUUGUUUUGACACAGACUUGACUUAAAAUGUAGAGAAAUGAUGGUGACUGUUAUUUUGAUAAAUGACAUAAAAAGACAAAAUAUGAAUAUGUAAUGAAAGAAAAAGGAAAUGUCCCUUAUUCAAAAAGAAAACUUAUCUGAAUACGGCAACCAAUUCCAAUGAGUAUGACAUGCAUUUUGGAUUAAGCUGCCUGAUCUUCCUAUCCAAACUUCCCAUUUUUUGUUGAGUUCAUGCCUUUGCCACUGAGCCACUUCUUCAAAUCCAUUGGACUCACAUAACUCAUUCAAUUGAAAACAACUUAAAAGACUUUCGCCAACAAAUCUCUUUCCUUUUCACUUUUCUCUCAAACUCGCCAUCGCCUUACGGUGCCCAUAAGGGUUUUCACCAAUAAGACUCUCAUUUUUAUUUCUCUCAGCUCCCCAUCGUCUUAUAGUGCUCGUGAGGGUUUUCACAAGUAUGAAUCUCUCAUUUUUAUUUCUCUCGACUCACCAUUGCCUUAUGGUGCCCGCGAGGGUUUUCACUAAUAAGACUCUCAUUUUUAUUUCUUUCCUGAUUUUUUAUACUGGGGAAGACAAGUAGUACCCAACAAUGUAUCAUUAUAACCAUUGCAUGCUUAGUCUUAACAUUAUCAAAGAUUGAUUUGAAGGACUUUCUUUGGUUGUAGCUUGGCUUUGGAUAAGGUUAGGAAAGGAUGACAAGAGACUCAAACGAUACUUGAAGUGGGGGUGGGAGUUACAACUUUUGAAAUCGACUCAAACAACACAUUAACUCAUGCCCCAGUUUUUGUUGACUGGUACCAGAAUCUAAAAUCUUUAUUUGGUUGGACCGAGCCCUGAAUAGGGAAGCCUAUGUAUCUCACCCCCAAGAGAGGAGAAUCAGGUCGUACAUAGUUCCAUCAGCUUGUUCUUUGUUUUGAUCUAAUUUUCUCUUCUCUUUUUUUUCUUUUAUUAUUAUUUAUUUAUUUUUAUUAUUUUUUUAUUGACAUUUCACUUUUUGCUUUGUUUUGAUUCCAAAAGAGGGAUAUGAAAGAAAAAGAGGACUAAGCUCAAACGGGGUAAACAAAGAAUGUCACAAUGUUUGGAUAACAGAAUGAAAUGCCUUCAUCAUAUCAAUCUUCAAAAAUGCAAGUACUAGACAUGUACUAAAAUCAACAAAGGAUAAAAUAUCAUACAUAAUAUCUUUUGACCGCAUCAACAUUGAUAGCCAUUUCUGCCAUUUUGCCUUCAAUAUCUGUCAAAUAUAAGGCUCCAUUGGGCAACACUUUCUUCACCAUGAAGGGACCUUGCCAAUUAGGGGAGAACUUGCCUUUUGCUUCAACCUGAUGAGGAAGAAUACAUUUCAAUACCAACUGACCAACUUCAAAAUUCCUGGGACGUACCUUUUUGUUAUACGCUCAAGCCAUUCUCUUCUGAUACAAUUGGCCAUGACAUACCGACUUCAAUCUUUUUUCAUCAAUCAAACUCAAAUGUUCCAAUUAGGUUUUGGCCCACUCAUCAUCAUCAAUCUCUGAUUUCACAAUGACUUAAAGAGAGGGAAUUUCAACUUCAGUGGGAAUGACUGCUUCUGUCCCGUACACCAAUAAAUAUAGAGUUGCCCCUGUUGAAGUGUGAACAGUAGUGCGAUACCCUAGCAAUGCAAACGGCAACUUCUCAUGCCAUUGUCUAUAUCCUUGCACCAUUUUCUGUAGUAUUUUCUUGAUAUUCUUAUUGGCAGCUUCCACCGUGCCAUUUGUCUUUGGAAGAUAUGGAGUGGAAUUUUGAUAUACGAUCUUAAACUGUUGGCAUACUUCUUGAAUCAAAUGUCUAUUGAGAUUGGCAGUAUGUCUGUAAUGAUCAUCUUUGGAAUUCCAAACCUACAAAUGAUGUUGGCAUGAAAGAAAUCUACUACCGCCUUCUUUGUUACCGACUUGAAAGUUACUGCUUCUACCACUUUGUGAAGUAAUUAAUGGCCACCAGAAUAAACCUAUGCCUAUUUGAUGCUUUUGGCUCAAUCAGUCCAAUCACGUCCAUUCCCCAGGCUAUGAAAGGACAUAGAACAACCAUUGCGUGCAACUCAGUUGGAGAAGAAUGUAUUAGAUCACCGUGUACCUGACAUUGAUGACACUUGAGAACAAAUCGAAUAGAAUCCCUCUCCAUAGUGAGCCAGUAAUAGAGAAUCUUCUUUGAUAAGACAUAACCGUUCAUAUGAGGCUCGCAUACUCUGGAGUAAACUUCAACAAUGAUUGCCGAAGCUUCUUUUACAUAUACAUACCUCAAAAGUCCCAGAUCCGGGGUUCUCUUGUAUAAGACUCUUCCACUUAAGAAAAAUCCACUAGCCAAAUGCCUAAUAGUCCUCUUUUAAUCAUUGGUGGCAUGUGCUGGGUAUUCUCCUGACUGGAUGUACUGCUUGAUAUAAAAGAACCAAGGUUCUCCAUGGAGCUCUUCUUGAACUGCAUUACAAUAAGUGUGUUGAUCAUGACUCUGAAUAUGCACUGGAUCGAUGUAGGCCUUAUCAGGAUGUUGGGGCAUCGAAGAUAAAGUGGCCAACCCAUCAGCAAUCUCAUUGCAAAUUCUUGGAAUAUUCCUAAACUUUACAGACACAAACCGUUGACAUAGAUCUUUCAAGCAUUGUCAAUACGGUAUUAGCUUUAAAUCUUGCGUCUCCCAAUCACCUUGAAUCUGAUAGUCGAGCAAAUCUAAAUCCCCAACACUAUUAGUUCCUGGACUCCUAUAUCAACAACUAGCCUCAACCCAGAAUGCGAGCUUCAUAUUCUGCCAUGUUAUUGGUACAAUAAAAUCGAAGUUGUACUGUUACCGAAAAAUAUUGCCCCACCUCAGAGAUAAGAACAACACCUAUUCUAACUCCCUUGACGUUAACAACUCCAUCAAAGAACAACUUUCAACCUGGAUCAACAUCUAUAAUGACUUCAUCGACACACAAUACCUCUUCAUCUGGAAAAUAUGUCUUUAAUGGGUCAUACUCUUCAUCAAUGAGAUUCUUAGCAAGAUGAUCUGCUAAGGCUUGGUAUUUCAUGGCGGUUCGAGUCACAUAUACAAUGUCAAACUUGGUAAGCAAUAUUUUCCACUUUGCCAAUCAACUCGUUGGCAUAGGCUUAUGAAAUAUAUACAUCAACAGAUCUAUGCGGGAGAUGAGAUAAGUAGUAUAAGAUGAAAGAUAAUGCUUAAAAUUUUGUUCUACCCAAGUCAGGGCACAACACGUUCUUUCAAGAAGUGUGUACUUGGCUUCAUAUGUUGUGAACUUCUUGCUAGGUAAUAAAUAGUUUAUUCCCUUUUGCCCGUGACAUCAUGCUAACCCAAGACACAACUAAAGGAAUUGUCCAUGACUGAUAAAUAUAUGAUCAAAGGCCUACCAGGAUCCGGUGGUACCAGCACGGGCGGAUUUAACAGAUAUCUUUUGAUUUUAUCGAACACUUCCUGGCAUUCUUCAAUCCACUCUACCACAACACUCUUUUUCAGCAACUUGAAAAUGGGCUCACACGUGGUUGUGAGUUGAGAAAUAAACCUGCUGAUGUAGUUCAAUCUACCCAGGAAACUUAUCACCUCCGUCCUAUUCUUGGGUGAAAGCAGAUCUUGGAUGGCUUUGAUUUUCGAGGGAUCCAAUUCAAUUCACAGAUGGCUGACUACAAACCCCAACAACUUUCCAGACGGAACUCCAAAUACAAAUUUUGCUGGAUUGAGCUUGAGAUUAUACCUGGGAAGCCUUCUAAAGAACUUUCUUAAAUCUUUUACAUGGUCAACCUGGCUCUUUGAUUUAAUAAUUACAUCAUCUACAUAGACUUAAAUAUCCUUAUGCAUCAUAUCAUGAAACAUGGUGGUCAUGGCUCUCAUGUAUAUUGUUCCAGCAUUCUUCAAACCGAAUGGCAUCACUUGAUAAAAUAAGUACCCCACAGUGUGAUAAAAGACGUCUUUUCCACGUCUUCAUCAUCCAUAAUGAUCUGGUGGUAUCCAGCAUAACAAUCCACAAAAAAGGCUACCUCAUAUUUAGCGCAAUUGUUCAGCAAAAUAUGGAUGUUGGGCAGCGAAAAAUCAUUAUUCGGACUUGCUCUGUUCAAAUCAAGGUAAUCAACACAUACUCGAAUUUUGUCAUCUUUCUUUGGGACAGGAACAACAUUGGACAACCACGUAGGAUAAAGAGCCACUCGAAUGACUUUGGCUUUCAGUUAUUUCAUAAUUUCCUCUUUGAUUUUAAUACUUACAUCAGUUUUAAACUUCCUCAACUUCUAUUUCACAGGGAGGGGAAGGCAGGAUCAGUUGGCAAUUUAUAAGACACUAAUUCAGUGGUUAAACCGGGCAUAUCAUCAUAAAACCAUACAAAAACAUUCUUAUAAUCAAUUAAUGCUUGAACCAUGCCCUCUUUUAGCUGUGGCAAAGCAUGUACACUAAUUUUAGUUUCCCUAACAUCUUCUUGAUUCCCUCGAUUAAUUGGGUCAAUUUCAUUCAAAUUAGGAUUUGAAUUGUCUUCAAAUUGUUUCAACUCUUUGCUUAUUUCUUCUAGUGCCUCUUAUUCAUCAUAUUCCCCUCUUGCUUCAAUAUAUCUUGAUUAGUUUGGAUUUUAAGAUUAGGCUAAAAAUUUCACAUGCAUGUCAUGUCAUUAGAGUCAGCAUAAAGAGAACUGUAUAAAGAAAAGACAAAACAAAAUACAUUAGACAAAAAAUAAAAGGGACAUUACAUUUCAUUAAAAGGGAAAGGUAGGAGGGUUUAAACACAAACAACAGAAUAUAAACAAGCUAAAUUCUGAGUUACAACCCUGGAAUAACUCAAAAAACUGAAAGGAAAACAAAAUAAACUAUCAAAACAGCCUCCUGAUGGGGAGAGGAGUGACUUCCCAAUUGUUGAGACAGACAAUUGGAACUAUGAACUGCACAUCUUCCUUACUGGUACCUUCUCCUGCUUCAACCAUGUCAACUUCAAUCAAUAGGUUCUGGAAGUCAUCAACCAAUUUAGCUUUAAAUUCUACAUGCUUUAUGACACCGCUCUUGACAAAUGACUCACUGAGUAGCGGCGUUGGGUGAGGGAGUGACCAUGUUUCCUUUUUCCUUUCCUUGGCCUCCUUCAGAUCUUCAGUCGUAGGUUCAAAACCCAGACCAAAAGUGCCUAUGUUCUCCCUCGGACAUAUAGGACGAACUAUACCAUACAGAGACACUCCCAAACCUUUUCCUGGCACAAAUCCAUACUUCAACAUCUCAUUCACCAUCAUGAAAGAAGUAGAAGACAAUCGUGGUCCCGACAUAACCUUCUCCUCAAGAAUAAGAUCCACCGACACUGUAUCAAACGACUGAUAGAUAAAUGUAUCCUCUACACUAAUUGCUUCAAUAAGAGGGAUGAGAGAAUCUUUGUGGGCGGACAAAUCCCUUUUGCCAUGAAUAACCACUUCUUGCCUGUCAUGCUCAAACUUGAUCAUCUAGUGCAAUGUAGAUGCAACAGCCCCAACUUUGUGGACCCAUGGUCUUCCCAACAACAGAUUGUAUGAGGAGUCAAUAUUCAUCACUUGGAGCUCUAUGGAAAAUUCAACAGGCCCUAUAAGCAACAUUAGUUAUAUUUCGCCAAUGAAGUCUGUUUUAGCCCCAUCGAAAGUCCUGACACAUACAUUAUUCGGCCUAAUCCUCUCGACACCGAUGUUCAACUUUUGUAGUGUAGAUAUAGGGCAAAUAUUUAUGCCAGAACCUCCAUCAAUCAUGACAUGAGUGACGCAGAAAUCUUAACACUUCACGGUAAUGUAAAGACCCUGGUUAUGCCCCGUACCUUCAACUGGAAAUUUGUUAUCAGAGAAGCUGAUUCGAUUUACUUCAAAGAUUUUUUCGACUAUUUUCUGAAGCUGAUUUAUCGUAAUCUCCUUAGGAAAGUACGCUUUGUUUAAUACCUUCAGUAUAAUGUCACGAUGUUCCUUGGAAUGCAACAACAAAGAUAAGAGGGAAAUUUGAGCAGGGGUCUUCUUCAACUGAUCUAUUAUUGAAUACUCUGGAAAUUUCAUCUUUUUCAAAAAUUCUUCAACUUCUUUUUCGGUGACAGGCUUCUUGACAGAUGAAGGCCCACUUACCCCUGGCUUGGGCUUCAUCAAACCUUUAAGCACGAAGCAUCUUCCUGACCGAGUCAGACCCCCUAUCACAUCUACUUCUUCCUCGACUUUCUUUCCUUAAUAAGUCAUCACAGUCUGCUUAUAGUUCUAGGGUACCUUUUUCGUAUCAACUGUCGGAGGUUGGGUCACCGGUUUGAUGAUAAUAGGCGCUGCAAGUACUCCUUUCACUGUCAAGAUAGGCUUACCCGGAGCUCCUAUCACCAUUAAAUUAUGCUCGUCUUAACUUAGACCAACAUUUUUUCUGGCUCCUUGCACCACAAUCACAGGUUUCUUUGUGCUUUCUUGGACUUUAUCUUCUCCCAUUCCUUCCUGGCUUAAUGACAUUGCUUUCAAUGAAUCUUCAACAUUCACCUAUUUGUCCUCCUUGGUUUGUAUUCUGACAAUAGGCUUAUAACACAUUGAUGACUCUUUGCCAUCAUAUAUCAACUCCAAUAUAUUAGUUUCAGCAUGGUUGGCAAUGGAUUCUGGUUAAUGUUUGGAAUUUACAGGGCCUGGACUAGAAGUUGAUUUGCAUCAAUUAAAUCUUAGAAAACUCUCUUCAAAUGCCAGCAUUUCUCGAUGUCGUGCCCCGGCAUAUCAAAACAAUACGCAUAUCUUAAUGAAUAAUCAAGAUUUCUCGGAGGUGGAUUCAAAAGCCUUCCUUGAAUUAGGCUCAAUACCUUCAAAUUCCUCAACCUAGGUUGGAAAGCGGGUUUGGAGGGUUUUUGGUAAUUUGGAGGAGCUGAAGGACGAUUUUGAGGAGCUUAUGCAUGCCAUUGUGGGUAAAAAAGGGUUUGAGCAUAUGCUUGUGCGCUAUUUACUGGGUACGGGGGUGGUGGAAUGGAAUAUAGUGGGUUUUGUAGGGGAUAGUAAUGAUGGGAAAGAAUAUAUGGAGCUUGGGCAUAGGCUUGGGCUUGGGGUUAGUGAUAGGGGCAAGGUGGUCUUUUGGGAUAGGAAUGGGAUAUAGCUAUAAUGGUUGCCACCUCCUCUUUCUUAUUUUUUACCUCCAAAAGUUCCAGAGCCACCUUGAAUUGCUUGGGUGAUGGCUUUUAAUGCGGCAAAACUCAUAAUCCAUCUAGUCUUGUUUCUGUCCUCUAUCAUCUCUCCCAUUUUUAGGACUUCAAUAAAUGACUUUCUCAUCGCCGGAAGUAAAUGUUGAAAAUAGGUCUCAUCCUAUGCCAGAAUGAAGACCUCUACUAACUUACUCUCCUUCAUUGGAGGUUUUACCCUUGCGGACUGUUCACGCUAUCUUAUCGCGUAUUCCCAAAAACCUUUAGUACUUUUCUUUUUCAUAUUGACCAGGGAUUUCUCAUCAGGAACCAGAUCGAUGUUAUAUUGAAAAUAUUGCACAAAUUCAUUAGCUAGGUUAUCCCAGUUGUUCCAAUUGUCAAUAUCCUGAUCGAUGAAACAUUCUAAAGCCAGACCGGAAAGACUCUCACCAAAGAAAGCCACAAACAACUCUUCUCUUCCCCCUGCAGCCCUCAAUUGGUUGCAAUAACGUCUCAAAUGCGCCACGGGAUCACCGUUUCCCUCGUACUUCUCAAAUUUGGUCAUUUUAAAACCAAGGAGAAGGUUAACGUCUGGGCAUAUGCAAAGAUCUCUAUAGGAAACACUCUUAUAACCCCCGAUUCCUUGUAAAUUCCUCAUGGCCUGUUCUAAAAUUUUCAAUUUCCACGCUAUGACUUCUUGUUCCUCUAUUGUAACUAGCUUCUCUGUAUCAAAUGGAAAUGCAGGUGGAUGAGUGUACCCAUAUGGUUCAUUCAUCUUCAAAGUAGGUUCCAGGGCAUAAUACUGAUUAUCUGAAACCUUCAAUACUGGCUCACUAACAGACUGAAGGAGUACCAUUGUCGGACGUACAGUAUAGAUUGGAGCUUUAGGUGGUGGCGGAGCCACGAACACAGGCGCUGCCGGUGGCUCCGAAUGAGUCACGGGCCUUAGUUGAGGAACUGCUAGGGGAACACUAUAAGUGCCAGGGUAAUAUUGCCGUGGAGUGAAUCCGUUGACUCAAUGGGAACAGUGAAUUGCGCCUAAGAGAGCUGUGGGCAAUUAGGGAAAUUCCCAAGAUCUUUAGGGAGUGGAGGAGGAGGCAUGCCACUAGCCCAUGCUCGGUGAAGAUCUAGCAAUUGUUGUCUAAGUCUUAAUACCUCAUCAUUGCGUUCUAAACUUUCUUUCCUGGGAUCCUGAUCUGGGUCAAUGAGUGAAUUUUCAAUCUCCCUACUAGACAUGACAAGCUUAUCUUUUGAUCUAGUGAAGUACAGAUGCCUAGACAAAGUGCUACAAAGCAACCACUUAUCUGAAAGAACAUGCUCAUCAAAGGCAAAACCCAUUAGGAUUAGGUCAGGAAACAAGCAUAGAAAUCACAUAGUAUACAUCAUAGGUUUAUGUACAUUUCUACUGGCCUUUGAGGGUACUGAGGCCAUUUUAACAUCAUCCCGAUUUUCUCAUUACAUUAUCACACCUCGUUCUUUCUGCUUUUCACCUUCACUUCUUCCUUCUUUUGCAUCAAUUUCUUCUCUUCCUCUUUUCUUCUCUCAUUGCUAUUUCUUUCUUUUCUUCUCUCGCUAUCUCAUUUCUUUUUGUCAUUCUUUAUGGGUUUUGCUUUUCUUUAAAAGAGGAAAAUAAUGAAAAACAAAGAAACAAAAUGAUUAGAUCGAACCCAAAAGUAGGUUGCCUACGUAUCAUAUUAAUGAAUCAGAUCUUGCGUAGUUCGGGAGACAUAUGCACAAAUAUCACAUAAUUGAAGAUUUUUGAUUUUUGAUUUUUUUUUUUGGCGAAAAACAAACAAAAGAAAAAACCAACAUCACUACAUUUCAUAAAAGGGAUGACUCAAACAUACUUCAAAUUUAAGACAAACUUAAAACUAAUCAACGAAAACUAAACAACACUCUAGACAUAUAGGACAACAUGCGUAACAUUCCUUAUAAAGACCCUAGCGUUAAAACAAACUGGACAUCGACUUAACAAAGACACAAUACUACAAUGGCAGAAAAGUAAAGGACUCAAACUAAACAAAAGAUAAGAAAUGCUCUUUCAAACUGGUGCGUCGUGUGAUGACCCUGGAUGAGAUGGACCUUUCUGUGAAAUUCUACUCAAACUAUAUAGCAUAUCUUGCAAGGACAGUUUGAUAUUUUGGAAGAAACUUCUAGCACGUAUUCCUGCCUCAUGGGGAGUGCACCUGAAAAGACUGUUCUGACAUAUUUCCACAGUUGCGAGCAAACCUGAUAACUGAACUCUCAACUCCUCCACUUUGAUCCCCGCACCCUCAUCUUGACGAACAUCAACUAUGCAUUCUUCCUGUGUUCUUCCUCUAAGCUGUGCUGGUAAUGGUCUACUGAUACCCCGAGGCAUGGACUCUAGCCAGAUCUCAUAUCUCUGAGUGUACCCCGGAUUAUCCAAACCUUUUUUAAGAGUGUCUACACCUAGCAUUGUUGCAUGCUUCCAUAACUGCUCGUAUUUCCUCUCACCUAAGGCUUGGUCCUUGAAGUACUCAACAUUCUUUAGAAGAUCCACUACUGUUUGCACGUCCUGCGGCCUGCCCAACUGGCGCAUUAUCCUAGAAGGACUGUAUGGUCUAGUGCAAUUGAGUCCUAACAUAACUAUAAGGAGCUGCAUCUGACAACCAAACAAGAUUAUUUUUGGGCGAAGCCACAGAUAAGUCUACAAAAUGUUAUCCUCGGUUCUUGACUCAAGAAAUUCAAUCCAAGCAUCGACUCCCACGAGUUGCGAGAAUUUAUCAAAGCGCCACCUGAGGUCCAUGACUUUCACUCGAUUGGGAACACAACUAUCAACCAUGUCUGGUCUAACUAAAGAAGGCGCAUGCAAAUGCUCCAUCAUCCACAACUACAAUAUCAGGUUACUGCCCUCCAAAAAUCUCAUCCCCCGUUUACUUCGGUUAAAGCGUUAUAUAUUUCUGUUAAGAUCAUGGGUAUAAUAGUGAACUUUUCCUUUUGAUUAGUGACCUUGACCUUUUGAUUAACGAUCUUGCCUUUUUGAUAUGUGAUAUUGUCUUUUUUAUCCUUAUGAAAUAGAGCCAUUACCACAGAUUGCAAGCGUGUAUUAAUACGCCUUUCUUCUAGCGGAAACACUAAAGUGCCUAACAGAGCGAGGGUGAAGACUUCAAGAUGUUUUCUUUCCCAAUUAUGCUUAGUCAUAUAAAAUUCAUCCCAAAAGUAGUCAAAACCUUUCAAGGACCCAAACCUAGCGAAUAAAAAGUCAAAGGAAAUCCAUGAUUGAUUCAGAUAACCCAAAUGCUUGUUGUUACUCUUUAACCCACAACCUUGUAGAAAUUUAUUGCCCGAGUGAUUCUGAGCUCGGAUCAUACUCUUAUCGAUAUAAGGCAAAUAAAGCAUACCGAAUAUUUCUGCCAAGGUAGGAGUCAUUCAUAGUUUCCGAACCUGAACACCACACUACUAGGAUCCCAAAAGGUUAACAUAGCAUCUAUUAGAUCUGGCCGAGGUGUAAGAUAUAGAAGCUCCAUAGGAUCACCUAGUAUCUUAAUUACCUCUUGCUUAUUAGUACAGUUGGACGUGCCCCACCACUUGAUUAACUUUUUGGGUACUUUGGAAACCAUCAAGUCUCUAGAACCUAUGGGAUUCAUCCUGUAAGAACAAACCAUACUCAAAAUUCAAAACAAGAGAAAGAGCUCCCGACCCUCGGGAUUUUAGCUUAGAGAAAUAUCAUAUGACAUAGAGGGACAGAUCGACCUAUAACUUAAAUAUACCGAACAGUACCGCCGAAUGAAAUCAGCCUACUUGGCAAGGACCAGUUGACAACACUAGAUUACGAGGAGAAAGACCCUAGCCUAAGAUCGAGAUGAAGAUCAAGGUAAAAAGAUUACCGGACCUGCCGAGGGUUGCCUACGUAUCCCACCUCGAGGGACGAGAAUCAGGUAUGCGUAGUUCAUCCAGAUUAGACAAUUAAGGACUACAAUGAACUAAGACUUGACCUAAUAGGUGGGAUUACAGACGGACGAUGGAAAUAACAUCUUUUUGGGUUUUUUAAUAAACACUUUACAUAAAAAUAGUACCACUAUGAAAUUAAAAUCUUUUUGGUAUUUUCAUGAAAUGUACAAAACUCCUACAAUUUUUUUCCAAUUUUGUUUUAUAAAAACUCCUAUGAAUGAAAAAUCUUUUUGAAGUUUUCGAAUUGUGAAUGCAUGCUAAACGAGACAAAGGAACAUUUUUUUUGAUGUUUUUGUUUUUGAGAAAUGAGUGCUAAAGGUAAAAGUUUUUUUUUUCUUCUGAAUUUUUGGAUUGUGAAAAACAAAAGCCAUAAAGAACUCGAAAAACUACGAAACUCUUUCUUUUUUCUUUUUCUUUUCUUUUUUUCCAUUACCCAUACACUUUACUUCUAACACAUGUUUCCCCAAAUUAGUCCGUCAAAUGACCAUGUUACCCUCAAAGAUGCAACAUUUAGCACGUUGGGAUGUUUUAGAGGUGAGUAUCCUAUGAAGGACCAAGUAGGCCCCGCUAAGUCUCGACAUGAUGCACAUAAACAUGACCAGAAGGUAAUAUGACCUGAAGGCUAACCUACGCUGGGGUUCACUAACAAGGCUGUUCGGGGGAGCGUAUGAUUGAUAGUGGCUGCGGCAGCUUUCCAUCUACUCCAUAUAACCCAACGGCUCCCCCAUUCUAAAAUAAGGGUGACUCAACUAUAGGUCGUGUACACACGUGUACUACAGACUUGUUGCAGAAAGAAUGACUCGGGUUAUGCACAUGACGUCAUAUAUAAAAAAGUAACAUAUUAAAUAAAAACUGUAAACAAAGAGCACGUAGGCACUCACCAAUGAUAAACAAUAACACAAAAUAACACAAACAAAAUGUCUAUACACCUAUAAUGCCAAACUAAGACGAUACAACUCCAAAAUAAGCUUGAAUUCUAAAAAGUGCUCCCCAGCGUAGUCGCCAGAGCUGUCACACCCUUUAUAAACUCCAAAAAAGAUUCAUUUUAAGUUCGAAAGGGUUUUUAUUAUCAACGUGACAAAAGAUGAAAAAAAUUUCAAAAAGAAUUCACUUUACAAUUAACUCAGAGUCGCCACUUGGCUUAAUCCGGUGUGCCAAGUCACAUUUAAAAAGUCCUUUUUAAAAUGAUUUGACUUUUUAAAACUGAUUUGUGAACAGAGAUUCCAGCUAAGAAAUUCUGUUGAUCGAGGGGAAGGUGUUAGGCACCCCUCGGUCCCGUGGUUCAACCACGAUCGCUUAGUAGAGCGUAUCGGCUAAUUUGACAUUAUAAAUGUAUAAAACACACAAAACAAACAAAAAACAAUAAAACAAACAAAGAAAACAAAACGAACCAAAAAUACAGUGUCCAGUCCAAUUUAUACAGUCCAAAUAGAAAAAUGCAAAAAAUAAAUCCUAUCUAACCUAUACUAAUUCCAACUUCGCUCUCGUGCAUUACCCGAUGCCUCGGGCCUUCAUCACAAAUGUUCUCAGGGUACAUAAUACUUUGGGACAUUUCCCGAUGAAUGAACAUAAAUAGCUUGGGGUAUUCCCCGGCCAAAUGAUACAUUCAAUCCCGAAAUCAAUAAAACCAAACCGUUCAACACGUAUUUCAAGCAUUCAAUAAUUCAACGAGCAAAACUUAUUCCUAAAUCUUUGCCUACCAGAGCCUACUUUUGCCUAUUCAUUUGGCCUACCAUGAUACUAUCAUGUCAAUGAUAUUCAAUGAAUCAAAAUAAAUUAACGCUUAUUUUUUUAUCAAUUUCAAUUCCUACCCCCUCCUAAAAUAGUUUCCUUUUCAAUCAAUCAAUGAUUAACAGAUCUUUUAGUUUAACACCUCUUCAAAAUUCAGAACCAACAUCCAUACAUCAACCAACAAAAAUUCAAACAUAUGAAUCAUUCAUACCCAUCACAAUAGUUAAUACCACUAAAAAUCUCAAGAAAUCACGCCAAGGCCAUAUUCGAAAUAAUAAAGAGAUAGAGUUGAGAAAAUGGACCUUCAAAGAUUACGAUGAUAUCAAUGUUUAAGAAAACCAAACCCGAAAGAUAAAAUAGAAACUCUCAAUAGAGAUAAGAUCAUAACACGAAUCGAUAAACAGCAGUCCGAAAUUGACCACAAUAACCUGACUAAGACCCAAAAUAGAAAUCCCAACCCGAUCGAUGACAUGAUUUGAUCACAAAAAAACCUCUAAGACUGUCACUGACGAUGAACAACAAACGUAGACAAACCUAAAAAAAAACUCCCAACGACACGACAAAAAUCGAGAUCCAAGAGAUUUCGGCGAAGUAGUCGCUGGAACAGUGACCAAACCUGCAAAACCCUUUUCCGAAUAACUUCGAAUCUACCCUUUUUUCUUCCUUAUUAUAGAUCGACCCUCAAAUCCCUCUCUUGCGUGCGAGUCACUCAAUAUUUUCCCUCAAACUCUCCACUACCUGAUUGUCUAUUCCAGUCGUGUAUUCUGUGUGCGUGAGUGAGUGUGAAUCAGUGAGGUGUAGUAUAUGAGAGUGUGUGUGUGUGAGUUACUGUGUAAAAGAAAAGAAGGCCCAAAAAAUAAAGUCUGUCAGUGUUUUUUUAAUGGAGAAGAUCAUGUUCUUGGUAUGUUAUGUGUAGAUGAUGAUAAGAGCAAGAACUAGAAAAAUUGUGAGGCCUUCCUCCCCUUUUCUCUCAUGCACUGUGUGUGUAUACAUUUCAAAGGAAAGAAAAAUAUUUUUGGAGACUUGUGGGUCCAUCCCCCUAGGUAAUUUCCUGGAAAAUUCCCUGGGUCCUUUCUUUGUUGACAAGCAAAAUAAAAAAGGAGGGAGGGGUCACGUGAGGUGGGGGUAGGAGGGGUAGGGGUUAGGAUAUGUGACCGUGUGGCCACUGUGUUAUUUGAUUUUGGUUCUACUUUGUCAUAUGUAUCUAUCAAUUUUGUUGUGGAUUUGGACAAGGUGUGUGUCUACUUGACUUUUCUAUUCACGUGCCCACUCCUGUGAGUGAUUCUCUUGUUGUUGAUAGGAUUCAUCAUUCUAGUUCUGUUAUGUUAUGGGGUAUCAAACUUGGGCAGAUUUUGUGAUUCUAGACAUGAUAGAUUUUGAUAUAAUUUUGGGUAUGAGUUGAUUAUCUAUAUAUCAUGCUAUGCUGCAUAGUCAUGCUAAGAUAGUGACUGUAGCUAUGCCGAAAAUGGAUAGACUUAAGUGGGAGGGUGAUUAUAGUCCUACUCCAAUGAAACUUAUUUCUUUCUGCGUGCAAAGAGGUUAAUUGGAAGAGGUUGUUUGACCUUCCUAGCAUAUCUUCGGGACACUUCCAUAGAGGUCCCAUCUAUUGAGUUAGUUUCUAUGGUGUGUGAGUUCCAAGAGGUUUUUCCUGAAGAUCUGCCUGGUAUGCCUCCAGGCUUUGACAUUGAUUUUUGUAUUGAUCUAGACCCAGAUACUCGUCCUAUUUCUAUUCCUUCCUAUAGGAUGUCUCCAGCUGAGUUAAGGGAGCUAAAGGCUUAGCUGCAGGAUUUAUUGAGUAAGGGUUUUAUUUGUUCGAUUGCCUCUCCAUGGGGUGGUCCUGUCUUGUUUGUGAAGAAGAACGAUGGUAGUCUUCUUAUGUGUAUAGACUAUAGGUAGAUGCACAAGUUAUAUUCCAUAAUAGGUAUCCUUUACCCUAUAUCAGUGAUUAUUUAACAAGUUAUAGGGUGCAUCUGUAUUUUCUAAGAUUGAUUUGAGCUCCGGGUAUCAUUAGCUUAAGAUCGAGUCUGCCGAUAUUUCUAAGCCUGUUUUCAAACCCGGUAUGGGCACUUUGAGUUUUUUGUGAUGUCUUUUGGGUUGACUAAUGCCCCAACUACCUUUAUGAGUUUGAUGAAGGGGAUAUUUAAACCUUACUUGAAUUUUUUCAUGAUUGUAUUUAUUGAUGAUAUUAUGGUUUAUUAUAGAGUAAAAAGGAACUUGAGAAUCACUUAAGGAUUGUUUGGGUUGUUAGAAGAGAAAAAGCUUGAUGCGAAGUUUUCUAAGUGCAGGUUCUAGUAGGUUUCUUUCUACUGUUCUUCAUAGAUAAUGUGUGAUAUAUAUUGUGUAUGGAUAUGGAUGUUAGGCUUGAUUAUGAGUAGGAUGACUUGGCCUCGAUUGUUAAUAUUUGGAGUUUAUACGCUGGCUUGGGACCCGUAAAAUGUCAUGUUUAUACCCUUUCUAAAUUCUAUUGCUUUUCCUCUCUAGUUUAAAUUAGUUGUAGCUUAGUUAUGAUGUAAACCUAUGUUUGGGAUGUGGUUUUAGUAUUUGAAGCAUGAUUUGUAUAUUUAGCCUUAUAGGGCUAGUUUGAUAGUCUUGAAAUCAUAAGUUGCAUAGAGUUGACUUGAGUACCCUUGUUUCUAGUCAAAGUUGCUAGCUUGAAUAUGGCUUACUUGACAUCUAGAAGAUAAAAUUGAUACCUUAGCCUAGUUUGGGGCAUAGUUUUCCUAAUUAUGGAAAGUGAGGUUUAGAAGUGGGAUCGUCUGGCCCAUUUAGGCCUAAACUUAUGUUAAGUAUUAUGGACUUAAUUGCGGAUGUUAGACAUAGAUGAGGGUAGUAAACCUUAGAACAAGGUUACUUGAUAACUUGGUAACUUUUAUUGAUGUUCCCAGAUUGUGGCUUUUGAGUUAUAGUUAUGAUACUUCCUAUGGAUGUGAUAUUGGGCAUUUAGAGAUGCUAUUUCCUCUUAGACUUGAUGAUUGACCCAUAGAGUUGCUAUUUUCUUUAGUCAUGAUUAUUGGACCACUAGAGACAAUGUUCCUCUUAGAUAUGCAAAUUGGCCGAGAGAGGUGAUAUUCCUCAUAGUCAUGAUGUAUGUGACCUAUCGAUAUAAGAUAUCCUAUAGACGAUUACAUGUGUCAUCUAUAUUAUACCUCCAAUAUGUGAGAUACUUUCUAUAUGUGAGACUAUUAGAGAUAUGCUAUGGCUUAUAAAUAUGAUUAUCGAUAUGAGUUUUGGAUAUGUAUAUGGGCCUAAGGCCGUGAUUAUAAUGUUGUGACUAUCCGAAUAAAUUAAUGGGACAAGAACUGGGUUAUGAUAAUGAUUGAAUAUCCGAGGAAUGUUUACCAAUGUAAAUGAUAGGACUACAGUUUAUGAAUACAUAUAUUUUUGUAUACACAUAUCUUUGGUAUGGGAUGGUGGAAUAUACAGUAUGUUAAUUACGACUUUAUUGAUUGUAUACUGGUUAUGGCAUGCAUAGAUUUGGUACAUUCAUGAUUAUUAUUUCGGUAAUUGAUGUGAUUGUAACUGAAAUAUGAUCUUACAAUUGUUCUGCCUAAUUAACGGCUAAGCUAUGUGGGAACUAGUUGUCUAUUAGGGGACUAUUGCUCUUGAUGGCUAGGAAUCUAAUGUAUUAGUUAAUGAAUCUUGCUUAAUUGAAACAUGGUAGCUAGAGAUGGUUAAUGCGUGACUUAUAGUGGGUCGGGUCUAGCAGAGGUGAAAAUUAGUUGGUAUUGAUAACUAAGUUUGUGAUAUUGAUUAGUCGAUAAACAAGGUGUUGUGUGUUAAUGAGGCAAGAUGAUAAGAGAUGUUGGUAAUAAGAGGUGACUAGUUAAUAACUUUGAAUAGUUACUAAAUGGUUAACUAAUUAAUAGUUAAGCAAGGAUUGUUGGUAAACGAUAAUUAGAUAAUGAAUAGUGUCAGUUAAUAAAAGAUAGUUAGGUGACAAGUAGUAAUGCAUUGUCUUGUAAUGAUUACUGGAUAUAGGAUGAUUAGUAGAUAAUAAUGAAUGAUGGAUAAAUGAAGAUUUUGGUCUAGUGAUGAACCUUGACUAGAUGUUAGAUGCUGGCUAUUAAAUAAGUAGUGGUUAGUUGCUAUCCCAUGAACAAGGAUAACGUGGAGGAUAAUGUUUAGUCUAAUAACUAGAGGUUAUGUGAUGACUAGAUAAUGUUUAUAGGCGCGUCUUUUGGUUAUGCAAUGACUAGCGAACUAGUGAUUCUAUUAUAAUGAGUAUUGGUUAGCUAAUAACGAGUAGUUGAGAAGUAUUGACUAGAUAGAUAUUCUAUGAUGAUAUGACUAUUUUUAUGAGUAUUUUAGUGUAUAUUAUUUGGUAAUGACUAUUAUGAUGAUAUGUUGAUUACCGAAAAGGCUGGAGGACACUAUUAUGAUAAUAUGUUGAUACCUGUCAAGGCCAGAGAAUACUAUUGUGACGAUAUUGAUAUCCGACAAGACCGGAGGACACUGUUGUGAUGAUGUUGAUACCUAGAAAGGCUGAAGAAUACUAUUGAUGAUGUGUUGAUAUUCGGCAAAGUCGGAGGUUGAUUACGAUGAUGAUGGUCCUGAUGAAGAUAGUUAUGAUGAGUUGUGAUACUGGUUGUGUACUUUGCCUUUAUUCCUACAUGUGCAUCGCAUAUCACUAGUAUGCACCUAUAUUUAUCAGCCGGUAUAGGAUGGUUGCAUAUAUAUGAGUGAAGAAUAUUUCUUGUGUUUUUGUAUACUAAUUAAACCUUUUGAGUCUGGGGCGGUGGGGGUACGCAUAGGCUCGGCUAAAUAUUUGGUUGUCCGUAAGUUGAGUGCUAAGGAGAUUGCAUCUGUGAAGGUCCAGAAGAAGAAUCUUCCUAUUGAGGAGGUCACUUUUUGCUGAUUCAAGUAAUUCCUUAGUACUUUCCUUGUCGCUUGUUUGUCAUUAGGGGACAAACGAUUGUUUAAUUAGUAUCUGAUGUAACGACCCUCCCGGUCGUUUGUGAAAUACUUACAUCUUUCUUAUUAGCUCUUCUUUUAGUUUCUAUACGUAAUUUAUGACUUACAGAGAUAGAUAGUACCGAUUCUUGAUGUGUUCCAGGUGAUUAAGUCCUUUGUUGAGUAUUUUAGAUAAUUAAUUUAAUUAGUGAUUUAAUGAGUUCAAAACUCAUAAUUUAACUACUUAUGGG